This 464-nucleotide ribosomal RNA is filed under the name uncultured bacterium. Its description in RNAcentral is "partial 16S ribosomal RNA". It matches the Rfam family "Bacterial small subunit ribosomal RNA", at positions 339 to 795 of the family's 1533-position model. The record is from RNAcentral.
CUACGGGAUGCAGCAGUGGGGAAUAUUGCACAAUGGGCGCAAGCCUGAUGCAGCCAUGCCGCGUGUAUGAAGAAGGCCUUCGGGUUGUAAAGUACUUUCAGCGGGGAGGAAGGGAGUAAAGUUAAUACCUUUGCUCAUUGACGUUACCCGCAGAAGAAGCACCGGCUAACUCCGUGCCAGCAGCCGCGGUAAUACGGAGGGUGCAAGCGUUAAUCGGAAUUACUGGGCGUAAAGCGCACGCAGGCGGUUUGUUAAGUCAGAUGUGAAAUCCCCGGGCGCAACCUGGGAACUGCAUCUGAUACAGGCAAGCUUGAGUCUCGUAGAGGGGGGUAGAAUUCCAGGUGUAGCGGUGAAAUGCGUAGAGAUCUGGAGGAAUACCGGUGGCGAAGGCGGCCCCCUGGACGAAGACUGACGCUCAGGUGCGAAAGCGUGGGGAGCAAACAGGAUUAGAUACCCGCGUAGUC